UCGAAACCUGCAAAAGCAGACGACCCGCGAACACGUUAAAAAGUACCAAGGUGGAUUGGUGAAGGGUGCGAGCCCUGAUCCAGUCCGCUUGUCGGGWCGCRAAGUYGGMKKGCAUCCCUUGCGGUUGUGGCCGCUCCGCGUUCUCGCACAACUUAAAAAUCCGGCGCGAUUGGCGUCAAGGAAAUCUUAGCGGAAACAAAGCGUUGUGCCUUCACCGGUACAUCGCCAAGAAUCCCAAUACUCAAACGACUCUCGGCAACGGAUAUCUCGGCUCUUGCAUCGAUGAAGAACGUAGCGAAAUGCGAUACUUGGUGUGAAUUGCAGAAUCCCGUGAACCAUCGAGUUUUUGAACGCAAGUUGCGCCCGAUGCCAUUAGGUUGAGGGCAAGGGCACGUCUGCCUGGGCGUCACACACAGCGUCGCUCCCCACCARCCUAGUUGGUGAAGAGCGGAGAUUGGCCCCCCGAGUCCUCCGGGCACGGUCGGCACAAAUAUUGGUCCCCGACAGCGAGUGUCGCGGUCAGCGGUGGUUGUAUUCUUCCUCCAAAGACAAAAUGACGCGUACCUCGUUGCGUGCGGGAUCGAAACGACCCCUGAAAGCCGUUCGCGGCAUUCACCCUGCGACCCCAGGUCAGGCGGGAUUACC
This 645-nucleotide ribosomal RNA is filed under the name Ranunculus variabilis. RNAcentral describes it as "eukaryotic LSU rRNA". The stretch from base 248 to 409 matches the Rfam family "5.8S ribosomal RNA". The record is from RNAcentral. Lineage: Eukaryota; Viridiplantae; Streptophyta; Magnoliopsida; Ranunculales; Ranunculaceae.